UACGUAGGUGGCAAGCGUUGUCCGGAAUUAUUGGGCGUAAAGCGCGCGCAGGCGGUCCCUUAAGUCUGAUGUGAAAGCCCACGGCUCAACCGUGGAGGGUCAUUGGAAACUGGGGGACUUGAGUGCAGAAGAGGAAAGUGGAAUUCCAUGUGUAGCGGUGAAAUGCGUAGAGAUGUGGAGGUACACCAGUGGCGAAGGCGACUUUCUGGUCUGUAACUGACGCUGAGGCGCGAAAGCGUGGGGAGCAAACAGG
Molecule: ribosomal RNA, 253 nt
Filed under: uncultured bacterium
Lineage: Bacteria
Description: partial 16S ribosomal RNA
Rfam family: Bacterial small subunit ribosomal RNA
Source: RNAcentral